GUGAUAAUCGGGCGUCUUUGGAGCCCAAACUUCACUCUUCAAACACCUGUGCACCGUUACCUUUUUUUUUUAUAACACAAGUCCUCAGGAUGUCAUCGUUUACUAUAAACAAAAUA
RNAcentral lists this unclassified non-coding RNA (116 nucleotides) under uncultured Agaricomycetes. RNAcentral's name for it is "sequence contains ITS1". The record is from RNAcentral. Lineage: Eukaryota; Fungi; Basidiomycota; Agaricomycetes.